UUAAGCUGUUGGGUUCGGUUGGUUUGUCGUUCGGCAUGUGAGAGUUGUACUGGUGCAACAAUUACUUGUUUGCAAAUUGACGCUAUAUGCACAUCAAGGACGUUUCACCCGUGAUAGAAA
Teleopsis dalmanni is the source of this 120-nucleotide long non-coding RNA. RefSeq lists it as uncharacterized. Lineage: Eukaryota; Metazoa; Arthropoda; Insecta; Diptera; Diopsidae. The transcript is spliced from 2 exons. The record is from RefSeq and is a predicted model, not a curated record.